RNA transcript from Macadamia integrifolia, 3755 nucleotides. It is a transcript of the gene named alpha,alpha-trehalose-phosphate synthase [UDP-forming] 6-like, with no coding region annotated. NCBI's taxonomy places the organism in Eukaryota, Viridiplantae, Streptophyta, Magnoliopsida, Proteales, Proteaceae. The transcript has 5 exons. The record is from RefSeq and is a predicted model, not a curated record.
GACGCUGAACUGUAUGCAUAUCAGACGGUAAGAACUGAGCAGGAAGAGAGAUAAAGGAAGCAACUGGUUCCAAAAAAUUAGGGUCUUUUUGAUGAUCGGAAUUAGGGUAGGAUUUUGGUGUCUAGGAAAUGGAAAUGGGUUUCUGGUGACGGUAAAUUUCUGGAACUUUAUAAUCCACCUAUCAAUUUCAUUUCUCUAUUUGUUUUUGGAUUUAAUUAUUUUCUGAUUUUCAAUGAAUCCCCUUUAUUGCUAAGUGAGUCUUCUCAUCUCGGUGGAUGUCUUAGCUGUAAUGAACAGAACUGAAUUGAUUCUCUUUCUUUCAUCUUUGAAGUUCUAGAGAAAGUUUUAUUAUGUAUGACUUGAUUCAAUGUUCUGAGCUUGAUUAAUCGAGAAAUUUCAGCGCCUUUUUUUUUUUUUUUUGUGGGUUCAGUUCACUGAGUUAUUUCUCCCGGAAAAAAAGUCGCUUUUGUUUUUUGGGUUCACAGAAUUCUCAUCUUUCUCUCUGUGUUGAAGAUGAAUUGCUUUCAACAGUAGAAGAAUUCCCUUCAGGUGUCAAUUUAAUGUGAUUCUUUCUUCUUUACAUACCGGAAAAGCUUCUCUCUGGGUUAGAUUUCUUUUUGGGGUGCGUGUGUGAAGGGUGGUAACUAAGAACAAUGGUCUCGAGAUCUUACUCGAAUCUUUUGGAGCUAGCCUCCGGCGAGUCUCCGUCGUUUGGCCGUAUGAGCCGUCGACUUCCACGUAUAAUGACGGUUGCAGGCAUAAUGUCAAACCUUGAUGAUGACCCAGCUGAUAGUGUCUCCUCUGAUCCAUCUUCCUCCUCUGUACCCAAAGACCGAAUCAUCAUAGUAGCUAACCAACUUCCAAUUAGGGCUCACAGAAAACCUGAUAAUAAGGGCUGGACUUUCAGCUGGGAUGCAGAUUCACUUCUUCUUCAGCUGAAAGAUGGUUUUGGGGAAGACGAAGUUGAGGUCCUUUACGUAGGUUGCCUUAAAGAAGACAUUCACCCCAGCGAACAGGAUGAUGUAUCUCAGAUCCUGCUCGAGAACUUCAAAUGUGUCCCUGCUUUCAUCCCACCUGACCUUUUUAGUCGAUUCUAUCAUGGGUUCUGUAAGCAACAUCUGUGGCCUCUGUUUCAUUACAUGUUACCCCUGUCGCCAGACCUCGGCGGUCGUUUUGAUCGGUCUCUAUGGCAGGCUUAUGUCUCAGUUAAUAAGAUCUUUGCUGAUAGGAUCUUAGAAGUAAUUAACCCAGAAGAAGAUUUUGUCUGGGUCCAUGAUUAUCAUCUCAUGGUGUUGCCUACAUUCUUGAGGAAGAGAUUCAACCGGGUGAAGCUUGGGUUUUUCCUCCACAGUCCAUUUCCGUCAUCUGAGAUCUACAAGACUUUGCCUGUCAGGGAAGAACUCUUGAGAGCCCUAUUAAAUUCUGACCUCAUUGGAUUCCAUACAUUCGAUUAUGCCCGGCAUUUCCUCUCAUGUUGUAGUAGGAUGCUUGGACUGAGUUAUGAAUCCAAGAGAGGCUAUAUUGGUCUCGAGUAUUAUGGCCGAACUGUUAGUAUCAAAAUCCUUCCUGUUGGCAUCCACAUGGGUCAGCUCCAAUCAGUCCUGAGCCUUCCAGAGACUGAAGCUAAGGUUGUCGAGCUCAUUAAGCAAUUUACAGGGAGGGGAAGAAUAAUGAUGCUUGGGGUAGAUGACAUGGACAUAUUCAAGGGGAUCACCUUGAAGCUCUUGGCUUUGGAGCAGUUGCUUUUGCAGCACCCAGAGUGCCGUGGGAAGGUUGUUUUAGUGCAGAUAGCCAAUCCAGCCAGGGGUCGAGGAAAAGAUGUGCAAGAUGUUCAGUCUGAGACUUACUCAACUGUGAAGCGGAUUAAUGAGACAUUUGGCCAACCUGAUUAUGAACCUGUGAUCUUGAUUGAUGAACCGCUUAAAUUCUUUGAGAAAGUUGCUUAUUAUGUCGUUGCUGAGUGUUGUCUGGUCACUGCUGUUAGGGAUGGGAUGAACCUCAUACCAUAUGAAUAUAUCAUUAGCCGUCAAGGGAAUGAGAAAUUGGAUAUUGCUGUUGGAUUGGGUUCAUCCUCCUCAAAGAAAAGCAUGUUAGUUGUAUCAGAGUUCAUUGGGUGCUCUCCUUCUCUGAGUGGUGCCAUAAGAGUUAACCCUUGGAAUAUCGAUGCGGUGGCUGAUGCAAUGGACUCUGCUUUGGAGAUGGCAGAUUCUGAGAAGCAGCUCCGACAUGAGAAACAUUAUAAGUAUGUUAGUACUCAUGAUGUAGGGUAUUGGGCACACAGCUUCCUACAGGAUUUGCAGAGGACAUGUAAGGAUCACGUAAGGCGUAGAUGUUGGGGCAUUGGAUUUGGGUUGGGGUUUAGGGUUGUGGCCCUUGAUCCAAACUUCAGGAAGCUUUCAAUGGAGCAUAUAGUGUCUGCUUAUAGAAGAGCUAGAACUAGAGCUAUUCUUUUAGAUUAUGAUGGCACUCUGAUGCCUCAGGCUUCCAUAGAUAAGAGCCCAAGCUCUAGAUCCAUUGAUGUCUUAAACAGCUUGUGUAGAGAUAAGAACAAUGUUGUCUUCCUUGUCAGUGCUAGAAGCCGGCAGACUCUGAGUGAAUGGUUUUCGCCCUGUGAGAGGCUGGGAAUCGCAGCCGAGCAUGGCUACUUCCUCAGGCUGAGGCGAGAUGCAGAAUGGGAAACAUGUGUCCCAGUGGCUGAUUGUAGCUGGAAGCAGAUUGCAGAACCUGUCAUGAAGCUGUACACCGAAACAACUGAUGGUUCCACAAUUGAAGAUAAGGAAACAGGGUUAGUGUGGAGCUACGAGGAUGCAGAUCCUGAUUUUGGAUCUUGCCAAGCUAAGGAACUUCUUGAUCAUCUUGAGAGUGUCCUUGCAAAUGAACCAGUCUCGGUGAAGAGUGGGCAGAGUAUUGUAGAGGUUAAACCACAGGGUGUGAGCAAGGGUCUUGUGGCAGAACGCUUACUUUCCACCAUGGAGGAGAAAGAAAUGGUUCCAGAUUUUGUUCUUUGCAUAGGUGAUGAUCGAUCUGACGAAGACAUGUUUGAGGUGAUUACAAGAAAUAUGGCUGCAUCAUCUUUAGAAGCCCAAGUGUUUGCUUGUACUGUUGGUCGCAAGCCCAGUAAGGCGAAGUAUUAUUUAGAUGAUACUGGAGAAAUUGUUAGAUUGAUGCAGGGGUUGGCCUCUGUGUCUGAUCAAGCUUUCACGGUUUCGUAACUAUAAAAAUCCGAAGAAGAGAAACCAAGGUCUUCUUCUGCAGUUUUGGCUGAUAGAUUUGGUGCUGUUAAAUUUCAUGCCUAGUAGUUGCUGAUAGCUUCACAUUGGUCCAGCCAAGAUAGAAACCAUUUGUUGGGCGGCUUUAAUUGGGAGUGGAAUUCUGUUGGGCGGCUGAAUUUGGUAGUGGAAUUCUGUUGGGCGGCUGAAUUUGGUAGUGGAAUUUCUUUAGACUCCAAUUGGUUGCAAGGGAAAUGAAGGGAAAUAUUUAUAUUUCUCUAUCUAAAGAAUAUCUGCAUUUCCCUUGCAAUCAAACAUCCUAUAAAAUAUGUUUCAUUUUUUCAGGAAAUAUUUUAAUUUCUUCUUCAAUGAAAGGGGGUCUUGGACAACUAAAAUCACUUCAUGAGAAGUCAUGAGAAAAGAUGUGUAGCUUAGGACUGGUAACCAGUAUGACCUUGAAUAGAUUUGAUUAAAGAAAGUGGAUUUAUGUAAUUGACUCCAUUUAAUUGGGAUAAAAUUGGAUUUUUUUUUUUUUCUUUUCUUUUU